UGGGAGGAACCUCCUGCAAGGCUCAGCCAGGCAGUUCUUUUCCCUGGCAGAGGUGGAUAUGGCACUGGGAAAAGCAGUUGGACCUACAUUGAUCUGCCAGUCAUCCUGCUCCAUUUGGAUUGAUAGAACUGCAGAAAAAAAGCUUUUGUUUAAUUGGGAAAAUAUUGUAUUUUUCCUUUAGGAGAGAACUGAGGUAUGAGGGAUGUUCUUCCUGCAAUAAAAUGACACUGGCAGGUGAAGUCCUGACA
This 248-nucleotide long non-coding RNA is filed under the name Chloebia gouldiae (Gouldian finch). Its description in RNAcentral is "Erythrura gouldiae (Gouldian finch) lncRNA (ENSEGOG00005003122.1)". The record is from RNAcentral. Lineage: Eukaryota; Metazoa; Chordata; Aves; Passeriformes; Passeridae.